GGCUAAUUUUUGUGUUUGUAGUAGAGUCAGGGUUUCACCAUGUUGGCCAGGCAGGUCUCAAACUCCUGGCCUCAGGUAAUGCAUCUGCAUCAGCCUCCCAGAAUGUUGAGAUUACAGGCGUGAGCCACCGUGCCUGGCACACUGGGGUCUUCCUUUCACAUUAGAGGCUCUCUUCUCUUUGUCCAAAAUCCAUAGCCCAACUCCUUGGACCUGUUGGAAUAUUUCACAGGAGAUUGUUGUUUUGACUCCUUUUAUUAUUUCCCCUUGGGCAGAAAUUGUGCGACCAAAGUGAUAACAUAAUAAUUUAUUUGAGCAUUUAUAUACCAGGCUCAGAGUUGGCAAAUUUAAUUCUUACCUCAACUCUAUUUACCAAGUACUACUACUAUUGACCUUCUCUGAGGAAACUGAGGCACAGAAAGGCCAAGUAACUUGGCCAGAGUCACAUAGCCAGUCUGUGGCAAAGCUGAGGUCCUUGGUUCUAGAGCCCACGCUCCUAAUCACCUCUAAUCCAUCUCCUUAUUUGGAACCUGGGGGACAAUUUGCUCUCUGUUCUUUAUAGAAAACAACCACAACAUUGUAACACCAGUUACUAAAUGCCAGACACUGUUCUGAACACAUUAUCUGUAUAGAUUCCUUUAAUCCCUAACGGGCCUAUGAAGUAGGUACCAUAUUUAGUCCUAUUUUACAAAGAACCUUCUAGAGGUUCAACUUACCCAAGAUCACCAGAUAGUGACAGCAGUGUCCGAAUUUCAAAUCUAGGCUGGGUGUGAUGCCUCACGCCUGUAAUACCAGUACUUUGGGAGGCCAAGGCAGGAGGAUCGCUUGAGCCCAGGAGUUCUAGACCAGUCUGGGCAACAUAGUAAGACCUCCAUCUCUACAAAAAAUUUAAAAAUUAGCUGGGCGUCGUGGCAUCUGCCUGUGAUCCAAGCAACUCAGGAGGCUGAAGCAGGAGGAUUGCUUGAGCCCAGGAGGUCAAGGCUGCAGUGAGCCAUGAUGGUGCCACCUCCAGCCUGGAUGACAGUUCGAGACCCUGCCUUAAAAAAAAUGAAAAAAGAAUUUAAAAUUUAGGUUUUCUGUCCCUGGAGAUCUCACUUUCAUUUUCCUUUCUGGGCCUUAGGAGCAGAGUGGAGUUUAUUGCCCUCAUCAGUUCAUGGCCCACCACCCUCCUCAGCCUGGGCAAAGCCUGGCUUAUUUUAUUUCAUUAUUUUCUUUUUGUUUUUGAGACAGAGUUUCUCUGUCACCCAAGUUGGAGUGCAGUGGCGCUAUCUCGGCUCACUGCAAACUCCACCUCCUGGGUUCAGGUGAUUCUCCCACCUCAGCCUCCCAAGUAGCUGGGAUCGCAGGCACGCACCACCAUGCCUGGCUAAUUUUUGUAUUUUUUGUAGAGACAGAGUUUCACCAUGUUGCUCAGGCUGGUCUCUAACUCCUGGGCUCAAGCAAUCCUCCUGCCUUGGCCUCCCAAAGUGCUGGGAUUCUAGGCAUGUGCCACUGCGCCUGACCUAUUUCAUUAUUUUCUCCAGUUACUCCCAACCCCUAGUCCCUCUCCCCUCCCCCUCCUAGGCCCUCACUAGGGUGUUCAUCUGUCUUUGAAUCUGCAUGUGUCUGUAUAAA
Molecule: long non-coding RNA, 1611 nt
Filed under: Homo sapiens (human)
Lineage: Eukaryota; Metazoa; Chordata; Mammalia; Primates; Hominidae
Description: HSALNT0001667
Source: RNAcentral